Molecule: ribosomal RNA, 537 nt
Filed under: uncultured bacterium
Lineage: Bacteria
Description: bacterial SSU rRNA
Rfam family: Bacterial small subunit ribosomal RNA
Source: RNAcentral
ACGGGUGAGUAACGCGUGGGAAUCUACCCAUCCCUACGGAAUAACGCAUGGAAACGUGUGCUAAUACCGUAUACGCCCUACGGGGGAAAGAUUUAUCGGGGAUGGAUGAGCCCGCGUUGGAUUUGCCAGUUGGUGGGGUAAAGGCCUACCAAGGCGACGAUCCAUAGCUGGUCUGAGAGGAUGAUCAGCCACAUUGGGACUGAGACACGGCCCAAACUCCUACGGGAGGCAGCAGUGGGGAAUAUUGGACAAUGGGCGCAAGCCUGAUCCAGCCAUGCCGCGUGAGUGAUGAAGGCCUUAGGGUUGUAAAGCUCUUUCACCGGAGAAGAUAAUGACGGUAUCCGGAGAAGAAGCCCCGGCUAACUUCGUGCCAGCAGCCGCGGUAAUACGAAGGGGGCUAGCGUUGUUCGGAAUUACUGGGCGUAAAGCGCACGUAGGCGGACUUUUAAGUCAGGGGUGAAAUCCCGGGGCUCAACCUCGGAACUGCCUUUGAUACUGGAAGUCUGGAGUAUGGAAGAGGUGAGUGGAAUUCCGAGU